RNAcentral lists this ribosomal RNA (468 nucleotides) under uncultured bacterium. RNAcentral describes it as "partial 16S ribosomal RNA". It matches the Rfam family "Bacterial small subunit ribosomal RNA", at positions 28 to 507 of the family's 1533-position model. The record is from RNAcentral.
GACGAACGCUGGCGGCGUGCUUAACACAUGCGAGUCGAACGGAAAGGCCCUGCUUUUGUGGGGUGCUCGAGUGGCGAACGGGUGAGUAACACGUGAGUAACCUGCCCUUGACUUUGGGAUAACUUCAGGAAACUGGGGCUAAUACCGGAUAGGAGCUCCUGCUGCAUGGUGGGGGUUGGAAAGUUUCGGCGGUUGGGGAUGGACUCGCGGCUUAUCAGCUUGUUGGUGGGGUAGUGGCUUACCAAGGCUUUGACGGGUAGCCGGCCUGAGAGGGUGACCGGCCACAUUGGGACUGAGAUACGGCCCAGACUCCUACGGGAGGCAGCAGUGGGGAAUAUUGCACAAUGGGCGGAAGCCUGAUGCAGCAACGCCGCGUGCGGGAUGACGGCCUUCGGGUUGUAAACCGCUUUCGCCUGUGACGAAGCGUGAGUGACGGUAAUGGGUAAAGAAGCACCGACUAACUACGUG